UAGCAAGUCGAGCGGAGAUUUAGAAAAGCUUGCUUUUCAAAGUCUUACGCGGCGGACGGGUGAGUAACACGUGGGCAACCUGCCCUUGAGACGGGGAUAACUCCGGGAAACCGGAGCUAAUACCGGAUAACACAUAUCUUCGCAUGAGGAUAUGUUAGAAGGUGGCUUUUAGCUACCACUCAAGGAUGGGCCCGCGGCGCAUUAGCUAGUUGGUGAGGUAACGGCUCACCAAGGCGACGAUGCGUAGCCGACCUGAGAGGGUGAUCGGCCACACUGGGACUGAGACACGGCCCAGACUCCUACGGGAGGCAGCAGUAGGGAAUCUUCCGCAAUGGACGAAAGUCUGACGGAGCAACGCCGCGUGAGUGAUGAAGGUUUUCGGAUCGUAAAGCUCUGUUGUUAGGGAAGAACAAGUACCUGUUGAAUAAGCAGGUACCUUGACGGUACCUAACCAGAAAGCCACGGCUAACUACGUGCCAGCAGCCGCGGUAAUACGUAGGUGGCAAGCGUUGUCCGGAAUUAUUGGGCGUAAAGCGCGCGCAGGCGGUUCCUUAAGUCUGAUGUGAAAGCCCACGGCUCAACCGUGGAGGGUCAUUGGAAACUGGGGAACUUGAGUGCAGAAGAGGAGAGCGGAAUUCCACGUGUAGCGGUGAAAUGCGUAGAGAUGUGGAGGAACACCAGUGGCGAAGGCGGCUCUCUGGUCUGUAACUGACGCUGAGCGCGAAAGCGUGGGGAGCGAACAGGAUUAGAUACCCGUGGUAGUCCACGCCGUAAACGAUGAGUGCUGAGUGUUAGAGGGUUUUCCGCCCUUUAGUGCUGCAGCAAACGCAUUAAGCACUCCGCCUGGGGGAGUACGGUCGCAGACUGAAACUCAAAGAAUUGACGGGGACCCGCACAGCGGUGGAGCAUGUGGUUUAAUUCAAGCAACGCGAAGACCUUACCAGGUCGUGACAU
RNAcentral lists this ribosomal RNA (954 nucleotides) under uncultured bacterium. RNAcentral describes it as "bacterial SSU rRNA". It matches the Rfam family "Bacterial small subunit ribosomal RNA", at positions 55 to 987 of the family's 1533-position model. The record is from RNAcentral.